RNAcentral lists this ribosomal RNA (1071 nucleotides) under uncultured organism. Its description in RNAcentral is "bacterial SSU rRNA". It matches the Rfam family "Bacterial small subunit ribosomal RNA", at positions 104 to 1169 of the family's 1533-position model. The record is from RNAcentral.
GGGUGAGUAACACGUAGGUAAUCUACCUUUGGAUUGGGGAUAGCCCAUGGAAACAUGGGGUAAUACCGAAUAAAUCGUAUACCGUAGAGGUAAACGGGAAAGGCGCUUUGGCGCCGUCCGGGGAUGAGCCUGCGGCUUAUUAGUUAGUUGGUAGGGUAACGGCCUACCAAGGCGACGAUAAGUAGCCGGCCUGAGAGGGUGAACGGCCACACUGGGACUGAGACACGGCCCAGACUCCUACGGGAGGCAGCAGCUAAGAAUCUUCCGCAAUGGACGCAAGUCUGACGGAGCGACGCCGCGUGGGUGAAGAAGGCCGAAAGGUUGUAAAGCCCUUUUCUUGCUGAAGAAUAAGGGCAGGAGGGAAUGCCUGUCCGAUGACGUUAGGUGAGGAAUAAGCCCCGGCCAAUUACGUGCCAGCAGCCGCGGUAACACGUAUGGGGCGAGCGUUGUUCGGAAUCAUUGGGCGUAAAGGGCGCGCAGGCGGUUAAAUAAGCCUGGUGUGAAAGGCUACGGCUCAACUGUAGUUUCGCGCUGGGAACUGUUUGACUAGAGUUCUGGAGGGGAAGCUGGAAUUCCUGGUGUAGGGGUGAAAUCUGUAGAUAUCAGGAAGAACACCGGUGGCGAAGGCGAGCUUCUAGCCAAGAACUGACGCUGAGGCGCGAAAGCGUGGGGAGCGAACAGGAUUAGAUACCCUGGUAGUCCACGCUGUAAACGAUGUGCACUGGGUGUUGGCCCUUGAGGGUCAGUGCCGAAGCUAACGCGAUAAGUGCACCGCCUGGGGAGUAUGCUCGCAAGGGUGAAACUCAAAGGAAUUGACGGGGGCCCGCACAAGCGGUGGGGCAUGUGGUUUAAUUCGAUGAUACGCGAGAAACCUUACCAGGGCUUGACAUAUACCAGACGUUACGAGAGAUCGUGAUUCCCUUCGGGGCUGGUAUACAGGUGCUGCAUGGCUGUCGUCAGCUCGUGCCGUGAGGUGUUGGGUUAAGUCCCGCAAAGAGCGCAACCCUUGUUGUCUGUUGUUCACAGGUAAUGGUGAGGAGUCAGACGGAACUGCCGGUGACAAACCGGAGG